CCCGACUGCUAUUUGGGUGAGAAUAAGCCAUGCGAGUUGAAUGGAAUACCUAAAUUUUCCAUAGCAAACUGCUCAGUAACACAUGAUCAACUUACCCUAUAGAGAAAAAUAACCUCGGGAGACUGAGGAUAAUGUUUCAUAGUUGAAAAGGCUUGGAAAAGUUUUUCAAUAAAAAGGAUAAGAAAAAUGGUUCUUAUCCGCUAUAGGAUAGGAUCGUGCUCGAUUAUGGUUGUUGGUGAGGUAAUGGCUCACCAAGCCGAUAAUCGAUAGGGGCCGUGAGAGCGGGAGCCCCGAGAUGGGUACUGAGACAACGACCCAGGCCUUACGAGGCGCAGCAGGCGCGAAACCUCAGCAAUACACGAAAGUGUGACUGGGUUACCCAAAGUGUUCAGUUUUGAACUGUGGUAGGUGAGUAAUGUCCCCUACUAGAAAGGAGAGGGCAAGGCUGGUGCCAGCCGCCGCGGUAAAACCAGCUCUUCAAGUGGUCGGGAUAAUAUUGGGCUUAAAGUGUCCGUAGCCUGUUUAGUAAGUUCCUGGUAAAAUCGGGUAGUUUAACUAUCUGUAUGCUAGGAAUACUGCUAAACUAGAGGGCGGGAGAGGUCUGAGGUACUACAGGGGUAGGGGUGAAAUCUUAUAAUCCUUGUAGGACCACCAGUGGCGAAGGCGUCAGACUGGAACGUGCCUGACGGUGAGGGACGAAAGCCAGGGGAGCGAACCGGAUUAGAUACCCGGGUAGUCCUGGCCGUAAACGAUGCAUACUAGGUGAUGGCAUGGCCAUGAGCCGUGUCAGUGCCGUAGGGAAACCGUUAAGUAUGCCGCCUGGGAAGUACGGUCGCAAGGCUAAAACUUAAAGGAAUUGGCGGGGGAGCACCACAAGGGGUGAAGCCUGCGGUUCA
This 896-nucleotide ribosomal RNA is filed under the name uncultured archaeon. RNAcentral's name for it is "bacterial SSU rRNA". It matches the Rfam family "Archaeal small subunit ribosomal RNA", at positions 21 to 904 of the family's 1478-position model. The record is from RNAcentral.